This 147-nucleotide unclassified non-coding RNA is filed under the name uncultured fungus. RNAcentral's name for it is "sequence contains ITS1". Lineage: Eukaryota; Fungi. The record is from RNAcentral.
UUAAACUAUGUUUUGGAUUCAGACACAGACUCUACAGCAUAAAGGCGGCGCCGAAGCGCCGAAGCACAUCUUGCUUCCACAUGUUUACAAGGUUGAAGGCCAAAAGGCCAUUCAGUAAUGAUCCCUCCGCAGGUUCACCUACGGAGA